RNAcentral lists this ribosomal RNA (480 nucleotides) under uncultured bacterium. RNAcentral's name for it is "partial 16S ribosomal RNA". It matches the Rfam family "Bacterial small subunit ribosomal RNA", at positions 28 to 523 of the family's 1533-position model. The record is from RNAcentral.
GACGAACGCUGGCGGCGUGCUUAACACAUGCAGGUCGAGCGAGAGAAAUUCCUUCGGGAAGGACUCUAGCGGCGGACGGGUGAGUAACACGUGGGUAACUUGCCUCAUAGAGGGGAAUAGCCUUUCGAAAGGAAGAUUAAUACCGCAUAAGAUUGUAGUAUCGCAUGAUGCAGCAAUUAAAGGAGUAAUCCGCUAUGAGAUGGACCCGCGUCGCAUUAGCUAGUUGGUGAGGUAACGGCUCACCAAGGCGACGAUGCGUAGCCGACCUGAGAGGGUGAUCGGCCACAUUGGGACUGAGACACGGCCCAGACUCCUACGGGAGGCAGCAGUGGGGAAUAUUGCACAAUGGGGGAAACCCUGAUGCAGCAACGCCGCGUGAGUGAUGACGGUCUUCGGAUUGUAAAACUCUGUCUUCAGGGACGAUAAUGACGGUACCUGAGGAGGAAGCCACGGCUAACUACGUGCCAGCCGCCGCCGUAA